Molecule: ribosomal RNA, 253 nt
Filed under: uncultured bacterium
Lineage: Bacteria
Description: partial 16S ribosomal RNA
Rfam family: Bacterial small subunit ribosomal RNA
Source: RNAcentral
UACGAAGGGGGCUAGCGUUGUUCGGAAUUACUGGGCGUAAAGGGCGCGUAGGCGGUGUGUCAAGUCAGGCGUGAAAGCCCCGGGCUCAACCUGGGAACAGCGCUUGAGACUGGCACGCUCGAGUUCGGGAGAGGAUGGUGGAAUUCCCAGUGUAGAGGUGAAAUUCGUAGAUAUCUGGAGGAACACCGGUGGCGAAGGCGGCAUCCUGGACCAACACUGACGCUGAUGAGCGAAAGCCAGGGGAGCAAACGGG